AGCGGCGGACGGGUGAGUAACACGUGGGUAACCUGCCCAAGAGACUGGGAUAACACCUGGAAACAGAUGCUAAUACCGGAUAACAACACUAGACGCAUGUCUAGAGCUUGAAAGAUGGUUCUGCUAUCACUCUUGGAUGGACCUGCGGUGCAUUAGCUAGUUGGUAAGGUAACGGCUUACCAAGGCAAUGAUGCAUAGCCGAGUUGAGAGACUGAUCGGCCACAUUGGGACUGAGACACGGCCCAAACUCCUACGGGAGGCAGCAGUAGGGAAUCUUCCACAAUGGACGAAAAUCUGAUGGAGCAACGCCGCGUGAGUGAAGAAGGGUUUCGGCUCGUAAAGCUCUGUUGGUAGUGAAGAAAGAUAGAGGUAGUAACUGGCCUUUAUUUGACGGUAAUUACUUAGAAAGUCACGGCUAACUACGUGCCAGCAGCCGCGGUAAUACGUAGGUGGCAGGCGUUGUCCGGAUUUAUUGGGCGUAAAGCGAGUGCAGGCGGUUCAAUAAGUCUGAUGUGAAAGCCUUCGGCUCAACCGGAGAAUUGCAUCAGAAACUGUUGAACUUGAGUGCAGAAGAGGAGAGUGGAACUCCAUGUGUAGCGGUGGAAUGCGUAGAUAUAUGGAAGAACACCAGUGGCGAAGGCGGCUCUCUGGUCUGCAACUGACGCUGAGGCUCGAAAGCAUGGGUAGCGAACAGGAUUAGAUACCCUGGUAGUCCAUGCCGUAAACGAUGAGUGCUAAGUGU
This 742-nucleotide ribosomal RNA is filed under the name uncultured bacterium. Its description in RNAcentral is "bacterial SSU rRNA". It matches the Rfam family "Bacterial small subunit ribosomal RNA", at positions 94 to 823 of the family's 1533-position model. The record is from RNAcentral.